CUUAGGCAGGGCUGGCGGGGGCACCUGGGGAGGGGCCCCUCGAAGGCAGCAAGGACUAUGAACCGUGGGAGGGGGAGGCAACUGGGACUGGAGGACUGAAGAACUUUGUCCCUGUUGACCUUUCCCAGAGGGGAAGGAUCAGCUCUGGCUUCAUUCUCUGGGCACACGCCCUGGCACCUGCUGCUCGCAUGCUGGAUGACCUUGGGCAUGUCACUUCCUUACGCUGGAGAGUCUCCUGCCUUUGGCCAAUGCCACAGCCGCGGGGAAGAAGGGACAGUCAAAAAUGGGAGUCAAGCUUGUGUCCUCCUGGAAGCGACAUAGUGGCUGGAAGGGCCGCACUGGGAAGAUGCCUUUCAAAGAGGCACACUGCCUGCACGUUUAACCUGCACUGCGUGGCGUCUCACAUAACCACCAGUCUCACGUAACACGGAUCAGAAGCUCGCAUCUAAUUUGUUCACUGCUAUAUGCGCCGUACCUAGAAUAUCACCUGGCAUACAGCAGGCACUCAAUCUGUUUGUUGAGUGAGUGAAUGAAUGAAAAAAAUGGAAGCUCAAGCAGAUCUCCUUGCCUCCUGCUCUGCCCACUUUGGGGAAAACACCGAGGGCCACCAGGAGAAGGCAUCUGAGGAAGCAGUCCGGGAGCAUCCCCAGGGCAGUGAGCUGGCCGCCUCCCAGAGACCCGGGAAGCACAGAGGCCACGGCCAAGGCUGCGCACGACAGGGACAGGAGCUUCCCAGCAGCCCCUGCUCAGAGACAAGAUCACAUAUGCAACGGUUUGGGAUUUGGGGUUUGGCGCUGCUUCCCAUUCCCCUCCCACCCGCACCCCGCAUCAUAUCGGCGCAGGCCCUCCGGCUGCAGAGUGCCCAGUUCUCCCCCAGUCUCUGCUCCCAUUCCCAGAGCCAGCUUCCUUCCACCCCACACUGACACUCCCAGAGCUCAUCUGGAACCUUCUGAUUUGCAUCUCCAAAGAAAUAAAAUAAAUUUCACUAAA
Ailuropoda melanoleuca (giant panda) is the source of this 990-nucleotide long non-coding RNA. RefSeq lists it as uncharacterized. The record is from RefSeq and is a predicted model, not a curated record. The transcript is spliced from 4 exons. Lineage: Eukaryota; Metazoa; Chordata; Mammalia; Carnivora; Ursidae.